This 2348-nucleotide ribosomal RNA is filed under the name bioreactor sludge metagenome. RNAcentral's name for it is "bacterial LSU rRNA". It matches the Rfam family "Bacterial large subunit ribosomal RNA", at positions 14 to 2311 of the family's 2925-position model. The record is from RNAcentral.
AGGGCACGCGGGGAAUGCCUUGGCGCCAGAUGCCGAAGAAAGACGCAGCCAGCUGCGAAAAGCCGCGGGGAGGAGCAAGCAUCCCGUGAUCCGCGGAUAUCUGAAUGGGGAAACCUGCAUGGAGCAGUCCAUGCGCCCUUGAAUAGGGCGGCGACCCGGUGAAGUGAAACAUCUCAGUAACCGGAGGAAAAGAAAUCGAAAGAGAUGCCCCAAGUAGUGGUGAGCGAAAGGGGUAGAGCCUAAACCUGAUGCAUGUCAAGCCUGCAGGCGUUGUGCAUAAGGGGUAGCGGGAUCCAUGAGCGGAGGUCUGCAGACCUUCGGAGGAGUCACAAAAUGUAUCCAUAGCUGAAUCGUGUUGGGAAAACGAGCCGCAGAGGGUGAAAGCCCCGUAAGCGAAAUGGAAGCAUCUCCUUUGAUGGACACCCAAGUAGUGCGGAGCACGUGCAAUUCCGUAUGAAUCAGGGCCGACCACGGUCUAAGGCUAAAUACAUCUGGCGACCGAUAGUGAAGCAGUACCGAGAGGGAAAGGUGAAAAGCACCCCUGGCGGGGAGUGAAAUAGACCUGAAACCGCGUGCUUACAAGCAGUCGGAGCAUUUUAGGAUGUGACGGCGUGCCUCUUGGAAAAUGAGCCGUCGAGUUAUGGUAUGUGGCGAGGAUAAGAACUACAAGGUUCGGAUCCGCAGGGAAACCGAGUCUGAACAGGGCGUCAGUCGCAUGCUAUAGACCCGAAGCCAUACGAUCUAUCCAUGUCCAGGUUGAAGACCGGGUAACACCGGUUGGAGGACCGAACCACAGCCUGUUGAAAAAGGCCUGGAUGAGGUGUGGAUAGGAGUGAAAAGCUAAUCGAGUAUGGUGAUAGCUGGUUCUCCCCGAAAUGCAUUGAGGUGCAGCCUCGUCAGAACGAUUUAUGGGGGGUAGAGCACUGAAUGAGUAAGGGGGCAGAUGUGCCUACCGAGCUCAAUCAAACUCCGAAUACCCAUAAAAUUGAGACGGGAGUGAGACUACGGGUGCGAAGAUUCGUGGUCGAAAGGGAAACAGCCCAGCCCGACAGCUAAGGUCCCAAAGCCUGUGCUAAGUGUUACAAGGAUGUGGGGAAGCAAAGACAGCCAGGAGGUUGGCUCAGAAGCAGCCACCCUUGAAAGAGUGCGUAACAGCUCACUGGUCGAGCGUCCCUGCGCCAAAAAUGUGGGGGGCUAAGCACAGCGCCGAAGCUUCGGAUUCAAUGGAUAAAUCCAUUGACUGGUAGGGGAGCGUUCCAUACGGGACGAAGCAGAACUGUAAGGUUUUGUGGACUGUAUGGAAGUGAGAAUGACGGCAUGAGUAGCGAAAAGUGUGCGAGAAACACACUCACCGAAAACCCAAGGAUUCCUGGGGAAGGCUCAUCCACCCAGGGUUAGGCGGGACCUAAGGCGAGGCCGAAAGGCGUAGUCGAUGGACAACAGGUAGACAAUCCUGUCCUUCGUACGAUCGUUUGACCGAUGGAGUGACGCAGAAAGCUAUGUGCGCCGGGUGAUGGAAGUCCCGGUCCAAGGAAGUAGGCUGGUGUGGGAGGCAAAUCCCCCGUACCGUUAAGGCCGAGAUCUGAUGGGGUAGUGAAUAAUCACGGGAAGGCACAAAUGCUAUGCUGCCGAGAAAAGCUUCUAGGGAGAGAGUAUGAACCCGUACUGAAAACCGACACAGGUGGGUUGGCUUAGAAGGCUAAGGUGAACGGGAUAACCCUUGUUAAGGAACUCUGCAAGUUGACUCCGUAACUUCGGGAGAAGGAGUGGCUGGAGAUGUUAAGACUAUACGUUGUAAGCAUCUUUGGUUCGCAGAAACCAGGCUCAGGCGACUGUUUAACUAAAACACAGGACUCUGCUUAAGGCGCAAGCCGAAGUAUAGGGUCUGACACCUGCCCGGUGCUGGAAGGUUAAAGGGAGAGGUUAGUCGCAAGGCGAAGCUUUGAACUGAAGCCCCAGUAAACGGCGGCCGUAACUAUAACGGUCCUAAGGUAGCGAAAUUCCUUGUCGGGUAAGUUCCGACCUGCACGAAAGGUGUAACGAUCUGAGCGCUGUCUCAACAGGGGGCCCGGUGAAAUUGUGGUACUGGUAAAGACGCCAGUUACCCGCAGUAGGACGGAAAGACCCCGUGGAGCUUUACUGUAACUUGAUAUUGGAUUUCGGUACACUCUGUAUAGGAUAGGUGGGAGGCUAUGAAGGCAGUGCGCCAGCAUUGUUGGAGCCGUCCUUGGAAUACCACCCUUGGUGUGCUGGGAUUCUAACCGCGUCUGCUGAAUCGCAGCGCGGGACAUUGUCAGGCGGGCAGUUUGACUGGGGCGGUCGCCUCCCAAAGAGUAACGGAGGCGCGC